CUCCUCGACUCCAGCUUCUCCAGCAUCGGCGAAAUUCUGCACCAAAAGAAUUUGCACUAGAGGAAGGGUCUGUGUCUUCGCAGUACCCUUGUUCUUAAAGGAGUACUCAACGGAACUGUCUUCGAUCAUCUUCUUUGAUACUUUAUCCUUCUUCUCCUGCCAUAUCUCCACCUGAUGCCUCCCCGAAAGGCAUCCACCAGGCGAUCCACGGCCUCCGCGGCC
RNAcentral lists this long non-coding RNA (222 nucleotides) under Elaeis guineensis (African oil palm). RNAcentral's name for it is "long non-coding RNA (EGUI_LNC048421)". Lineage: Eukaryota; Viridiplantae; Streptophyta; Magnoliopsida; Arecales; Arecaceae. The record is from RNAcentral.